UUUUAUGCCAUUUUAGGGUGAAAUCAGAUUCAGUAUUAGAGACAGUAGCAUUAUUUUCAAGUACUGUUUCAGCUUUAACUACAUAGAUUCUAUUUUUUUUACACCCUUAAAGAUGACAAGAGAUUCCUUGAUCACUUUCAUCAACCCAUCUCCAAUCCUACCACACAUCCCUAGGUCAUCUAAUUCUCCCGUAGAGAUGAGAUUCCUUUUAAGUUCAAGUACAUACCUUACUCUCUCUAGGGUAUACAUGUAUCAUUUUAGGGUGAAAUCAGAUUCAGUAUUAGAGACAGUAGCAUUAUUUUCAAGUACUGUUUCAGCUUUAACUACAUAGAUUCUAUUUUUUUUACACCCUUAAAGAUGACAUGAGAUUCCUUGAUCACUUUCAUCAACCCAUCUCCAAUCCUACCACACAUCCCUAGGUCAUCUAAUUCUCCCGUAGAGAUGAGAUUCCUUUUAAGUUCAAGUACAUACCUUACUCUCUCUAGGGUAUACAUGUAUUCAUUUUCAAAUUUUAGGGUCACAUUACCUAAACCUUCAAUUUUGCAGGCAAUAUUAUUCCCCAUCACCAUUUCACCACCUCCUAACUUCUUAACAUCUUGAAGCGAG
RNAcentral lists this long non-coding RNA (606 nucleotides) under Olea europaea (common olive). RNAcentral describes it as "long non-coding RNA (OEUR_LNC006321)". The record is from RNAcentral. Lineage: Eukaryota; Viridiplantae; Streptophyta; Magnoliopsida; Lamiales; Oleaceae.